GUAUCUUUAAUAAAGACAUCAAUCCAAAGACAGAAAAAGGAAUUCAACACUUUCUGUGCAAUAAUAAACAAGUGUCAUUUAAAUUACACUAUGUCAAAUUCUAAGUCUUUUUAAGAAAAAGUUUAAAAAAAAAUGAUUUUGGAAUAUUUAAGACAUGUCAUCAAUUCUGUAUUCCCCAGUCACACAUACAAAACAUUUGGAUAAAACAAAUGAUAAUCACUUAUGG
RNAcentral lists this long non-coding RNA (226 nucleotides) under Mytilus galloprovincialis (Mediterranean mussel). Lineage: Eukaryota; Metazoa; Mollusca; Bivalvia; Mytilida; Mytilidae. The record is from RNAcentral.